Molecule: non-coding RNA, 272 nt
Organism: Odocoileus virginianus texanus
Lineage: Eukaryota; Metazoa; Chordata; Mammalia; Artiodactyla; Cervidae
Source: RefSeq, a predicted model, not a curated record
GUAAGAGCUGUUGUUCUUGAUCAUUGAUUCUGUGCCUGACAUGUGUGUGUUACUGCAUUUGUUUCAACAACCUCAUAUAUAAAGGUUCAGAAUUCUUAGCCUUCUUGAGCAGAUGAACUACAGCAAUUCCUCCUCCCCUGAAAGUUCUACAUUUUGAGGUGCACUCAGCGCAGAAUUGCAGUGGGACACAGAUGUGAAAGGUUGGUUGAAUCCAUGGAUGAGGAGCCCAUGUAUACAUGGCCCCGAUUGUAUAUGUUGAGGCAAGAUGACUG